RNAcentral lists this ribosomal RNA (901 nucleotides) under uncultured bacterium. RNAcentral's name for it is "bacterial SSU rRNA". It matches the Rfam family "Bacterial small subunit ribosomal RNA", at positions 8 to 904 of the family's 1533-position model. The record is from RNAcentral.
AGAGUUUGAUCAUGGCUCAGGACGAACGCUGGCGGCGUGCCUAACACAUGCAAGUCGAGCGGAGGUAUAUACGAAGAAGUUUUCGGACGGAAUUGUAUAUACUUUAGCGGCGGACGGGUGAGUAACGCGUGAGCAACCUGCCUUUCACAGGGGGAUAAGGCGGCGAAAGCCGCUCUAAUACCGCAUGAGACCACGGUGAUGAUAUUACAGGGGUCAAAGGAGCAAUCCGGUGAAAGAUGGGCUCGCGUCCGAUUAGGUAGUUGGUGGGGUAAUGGCCCACCAAGCCCGUGAUCGGUAGCCGGCCUGAGAGGGUGAACGGCCACAUUGGAACUGAGACACGGUCCAAACUCCUACGGGAGGCAGCAGUGGGGAACAUUGGGCAAUGGGGGGAACCCUGACCCAGCAACGCCGCGUGAGGGAAGAAGGUUUUCGGAUUGUAAACCUCUGUUCUUGGGGAAGAGUGAAAGACGGUACCCAAGGAGGAAGCCCCGGCUAACUACAUGCCAGCAGCCGCGGUAAUACGUAGGGGGCGAGCGUUGUCCGGAAUGAUUGGGCGUAAAGGGCGCGUAGGCGGCUUUGCAAGUCAGUAGUGGAAGUCCAUUUUUCAAGGAUGGAAGUGCUACAGAAACUGCGGAGCUUGAGUGCAGGAGAGGUUAUCGGAAUUCCCGGUGUAGCGGUGAAAUGCGUAGAGAUCGGGAGGAACACCAGUGGCGAAGGCGGGUAACUGGACUGCAACUGACGCUGAGGCGCGAAAGUGUGGGGAGCAAACAGGAUUAGAUACCCUGGUAGUCCACACUGUAAACGAUGAAUGCUAGGUGUAGGAGGUAUCGACCCCUUCUGUGCCGCAGUAAACACAGUAAGCAUUCCGCCUGGGGAGUACGGUCGCAAGGUUAAAACUCAA